This is an RNA transcript of Urocitellus parryii (Arctic ground squirrel), 2140 nucleotides long. It is a transcript of the gene named X-ray repair cross complementing 1, with no coding region annotated. Lineage: Eukaryota; Metazoa; Chordata; Mammalia; Rodentia; Sciuridae. The record is from RefSeq and is a predicted model, not a curated record.
UCCCCGCCCCCAAGCCAGGACCCUUCUUCAUCCUCCCGUCCAGGCUAAGCCCCCGACAUUGACAUGCCAGAGAUUCGCCUCCGCCACGUCGUGUCCUGCAGCAGCCAGGACUCGACCCACUGUGCAGAGAACCUUCUCAAGGCUGACACUUACCGGAAAUGGCGGGCAGCCAAGGCUGGUGAAAAGACCAUCUCGGUGGUGCUGCAGUUGGAGAAGGAGGAGCAGAUACACAGCGUGGACAUCGGGAAUGAUGGCUCAGCCUUUGUGGAGGUGCUGGUGGGCAGCUCGGCUGGAGGGGCCGGCGAGCAAGACUAUGAGGUCCUUCUGGUAACCUCAUCCUUCAUGUCCCCUUCUGAGAGCCGCAGUGGCGCAAACCCCAACCGUGUUCGCAUUUUUGGGCCUGACAAGUUGGUCCGGGCUGCCGCUGAGAAGCGCUGGGACCGGGUCAAGAUUGUGUGCAGCCAGCCCUACAGCAAGGACUCCCCCUAUGGCCUGAGUUUUAUUCGGCUUCAUAGUCCCCCAGAUAAAGACCAGGCAGAGGCCCCAUCCCAGAAGGUGACCGUGACCAAGCUUGGCCAGUUCCGUGUGAAGGAGGAGGAUGACAGUGCCAGUUCCCUGAGGCCAGGGGCUCUCUUCUUCAGCCGGAUCAACAAGACAUCCCCGGCCACAACUAGUGACCCAGCAGGGCCCAGCUACGCAGCAGCUACCCUCCAAGCCUCUAGUGCGGCCUCCUCAGCCUCCCCAGUUUCCAGGCCUGUCAGCAGCACCUCUAAGCCUCAGGAGUCUCCCAAAGGGAAGAGGAAGUUGGAUUUGAAUCUAGAAGAAAGGAAGAUCCCCAACAAACCAUCAGCCCAGCCCUCACCACCUGCCCUCAAGAGGCCCAAAUUACCAGCUCCUACCCGCACCCCAUCCACGGCCCCCGUUCCUGCCGCAGCUCAGGGGGCAGUGCCAGGGAAGCCCCGGGGAGAAGGCACCAAGGCCAGGGGAGCCCGAGCUGGCCCGCAGGAGCUGGGGAAGAUCCUUCAGGGUGUGGUGGUGGUUCUGAGUGGCUUCCAGAACCCCUUCCGCUCAGAGCUCCGGGACAAGGCUCUGGAGCUGGGUGCCAAGUAUCGUCCAGACUGGACCCCAGACAGCACUCACCUCAUCUGUGCCUUUGCCAACACCCCCAAGUACAGUCAGGUCUUGGGCCUCGGAGGUCGCAUUGUGUGUAAAGAAUGGGUGCUGGAUUGUCACCGCAUGCGUCGGCGGCUGCCCUCCCGAAGGUACCUCAUGGCCGGGCCUGGCUCCAGCAGCGAGGAUGAGGGGGGCUCUCACAGUGGCAGCAGUGAGGAUGAGGCCCCCAAACUUCCUCCAAAGCGCCCCCAGGCCAAAACCAAGACCCCCCAGGGAGCUGGACCCAAUUCACCCCAAAGGCCCCCAACUCCUGAAGAGACCAAAACAGCCUCGCCAGGCCCCCAGGAAGACACCGACGUUGAGGAGGACCAGUCAGGACAAGACAACGGAGCGGAAGAUUCUGGGGACACUGAGGAUGAGCUGAGGAGGGUGGCUGAGCAGAGGGAGCAGAAGCCGGCCCCUGGGCAGGAGGAAAAUGGCGAAGACCCGUAUGCAGGCUCCACAGACGAGAACACUGACAACGAGGAGCACCCGGAGUCUCCUGAGCUGCCGAUCCCGGAACUCCCAGACUUCUUCCAGGGCAAACACUUCUUCCUGUAUGGGGAGUUCCCUGGAGACGAGCGGCGGAAACUCAUCCGAUAUGUCACAGCUUUCAACGGGGAGCUCGAGGACUAUAUGAGCGACCGGGUUCARUUUGUGAUCACGGCACAGGAGUGGGAUCCCAGCUUCGAGGAGGUGAGCCCUGAGAUGAGAAAACUGAAAAAUGCAGAGAAAGAACAAUUUUCAGCCCAGGAUCUCAGAUCUGAGAAGGAUGAAGCCAAGGUUUCUAACUUCUAGGACAUCUGACAGCUGAGCCUACAGAAACCCCAGCGGGCCUUCAAGGGUCAGAUAUGAGUGCCCCGGAGCGGCUCCUUGUCUUCCUGGGUCUCUGACACCUCCCUGCGUCYCCCACCCGGUCUGCAGCUGCACGCCCCGCCCUCCCUCCGCGCUGGCGCCCGCGGCCCCUUUAAGGCAGGCCCCGCCCCGC